GCCUUUAAGAGGGGGAUAACAUUCUGAAAAGGAUGCUAAUACCGCAUAAUGUAUAGACAUCACAUGGUGUCAAUACCAAAGAUUUAUUGCUUAAAGAUGGACUCGCGUCCGAUUAGUUAGUUGGUGAGGUAACGGCUCACCAAGACCGCGAUCGGUAGCCGGACUGAGAGGUUGAACGGCCACAUUGGGACUGAGACACGGCCCGGACUCCUACGGGAGGCAGCAGUGGGGGAUAUUGCGCAAUGGGGGAAACCCUGACGCAGCAACGCCGCGUGAAGGAUGAAGGUCUUCGGAUUGUAAACUUCUUUUAUUAAGGACGAAUAAAGUGACGGUACUUAAUGAAUAAGCUCCGGCUAACUACGUGCCAGCAGCCGCGGUAAUACGUAGGGAGCAAGCGUUGUCCGGAUUUACUGGGUGUAAAGGGUGCGUAGGCGGCAAAGCAAGUCAGAUGUGAAAUCUAUGGGCUCAACCCAUAGCGUGCAUUUGAAACUGCGUUGCUUGAGUGAAGUAGAGGCAGGCGGAAUUCCCCGUGUAGCGGUGAAAUGCGUAGAGAUGGGGAGGAACACCAGUGGCGAAGGCGGCCUGCUGGGCUUUAACUGACGCUGAGGCACGAAAGCGUGGGUAGCAAACAGGAUUAGAUACCCUGGUAGUCCACGCUGUAAACGAUGAUUACUAGGUGUGGGGGGUCUGACCCCUUCCGUGCCGGAGUUAACACAAUAAGUAAUCCACCUGGGGAGUACGACCGCAAGGUUGAAACUCAAACGAAUUGACGGA
RNAcentral lists this ribosomal RNA (774 nucleotides) under uncultured bacterium. RNAcentral describes it as "bacterial SSU rRNA". It matches the Rfam family "Bacterial small subunit ribosomal RNA", at positions 128 to 917 of the family's 1533-position model. The record is from RNAcentral.